AGAAACUUAGGAUAAUUUACCCAAACCGGAGGCCUUCAAAGCCUUAAAUAAGAGUUAAACCCUCUUAGUUUCUG
This 74-nucleotide transfer RNA is filed under the name Dryocopus martius martius. RNAcentral's name for it is "tRNA-Trp". It matches the Rfam family "tRNA". From Rfam's summary of the family: Transfer RNA (tRNA) molecules are approximately 80 nucleotides in length. Their secondary structure includes four short double-helical elements and three loops (D, anti-codon, and T loops). Lineage: Eukaryota; Metazoa; Chordata; Aves; Piciformes; Picidae. The record is from RNAcentral.